RNAcentral lists this ribosomal RNA (492 nucleotides) under uncultured bacterium. Its description in RNAcentral is "bacterial SSU rRNA". It matches the Rfam family "Bacterial small subunit ribosomal RNA", at positions 30 to 519 of the family's 1533-position model. The record is from RNAcentral.
UGAACGCUGGCGGAAUGCUUUACACAUGCAAGUCGAACGGUAGAGGGGGCAACCCCUUGAGAGUGGCGAACGGGUGAGUAAUAUAUCGGAACGUGCCCAGUCGUGGGGGAUAACGUAGUGAAAAUUACGCUAAUACCGCAUACGAUCUAAGGAUGAAAGCGGGGGAUCGCAAAGACCUCGCGCGACUGGUAGCGGCCGAUAUCUAGAUUAGGUAGUUGGUAGGGUAAAGGUCCUACCAAGCCAACGAUCUGUAGCUGGUCUGAGAGGACGACCAGCCACACUGGAACUGAGACACGGUCCAGACUCCUACGGGAGGCAGCAGUGGGAAUUUUGGACAAUAGGGCGAAAGCCUGAUCCAGCCAUUCCGCGUGCAGGAUGAAGGCCCUCGGUUGUAAACUGCUUUGUACAGAACGAAGAGGUUUCUAUUAAUACUAGGAGCUCAUGACGGUACUGUAAGAAUAAGCACCGGCUAACUACGUGCCAGCAGCCGCG